This 468-nucleotide ribosomal RNA is filed under the name uncultured bacterium. Its description in RNAcentral is "partial 16S ribosomal RNA". It matches the Rfam family "Bacterial small subunit ribosomal RNA", at positions 28 to 507 of the family's 1533-position model. The record is from RNAcentral.
GACGAACGCUGGCGGCGUGCUUAACACAUGCAAGUCGAACGGUGAAGCUCCAGCUUGCUGGAGUGGCUCAGUGGCGAACGGGUGAGUAACACGUGAGCAACCUGCCCCUGACUCUGGAAUAAGCGCUGGAAACGGCGUCUAAUACUGGAUACGAGAAGGGUCCGCAUGGGCACUUUCUGGAAAGUUUUUCGGUUGGGGAUGGGCUCGCGGCCUAUCAGCUUGUUGGUGAGGUAAUGGCUCACCAAGGCGACGACGGGUAGCCGGCCUGAGAGGGCGACCGGCCACACUGGGACUGAGACACGGCCCAGACUCCUACGGGAGGCAGCAGUGGGGAAUAUUGCACAAUGGGCGAAAGCCUGAUGCAGCGACGCCGCGUGAGGGAUGACGGCCUUCGGGUUGUAAACCUCUUUCAGCAGGGAAGAAGCGGAAGUGACGGUACCUGCAGAAGAAGCACCGGCUAACUACGUG